GAAUUCUGGACAAUGGGCGAAAGCCUGAUCCAGCAAUGCCGCGUUCAGGAUGAAGUCCUUCGGGUUGUACACUGCUUUUGUACGGAACGAAAAGCUUCGGGUUAAUACCAUGGAGUCAUGACGGCACCGUAACAAUAAGCAUCGGCUAACUACGUGCCAGCAGCCGCGGUAAUACUGAGGGUGGAAGCGUUAAUCGGUAUUACUGGGCGUAAAACGUGCGCAGGCGGUUUUGUAAGACAGAGGUGAAAUCCCCGGGCUCAACCUGGGAACUGCCUUUGUGACUGCAAGGCUAGAGUACGGCAGAGGGGGGUGGAAUUCCGCGUGUAGCAGUGAAAUGCGUAGAUAUGCGGAGGAACACCGAUGGCGAAGGCAACCCCCUGGGCCUGUACUGACGCUCAUGCACGAAAGCGUGGGGAGCAAACA
RNAcentral lists this ribosomal RNA (423 nucleotides) under uncultured bacterium. RNAcentral's name for it is "partial 16S ribosomal RNA". It matches the Rfam family "Bacterial small subunit ribosomal RNA", at positions 359 to 774 of the family's 1533-position model. The record is from RNAcentral.